GUGGAUUAGAUACCCUGGUAGUCCAUGCCGUAAACGUUGGGAACUAGGUGUGGGUCUCAUUCCACGAGAUCCGUGCCGCAGCUAACGCAUUAAGUUCCCCGCCUGGGGAGUACGGCCGCAAGGCUAAAACUCAAAGGAAUUGACGGGGGCCCGCACAAGCGGCGGAGCAUGCGGAUUAAUUCGAUGCAACGCGAAGAACCUUACCAAGGCUUGACAUGUACCGGAAACGUGCAGAGAUGUGCGCCCCGCAAGGUCGGUACACAGGUGGUGCACGGCCGUCGACAACU
Molecule: ribosomal RNA, 287 nt
Filed under: uncultured bacterium
Lineage: Bacteria
Description: partial 16S ribosomal RNA
Rfam family: Bacterial small subunit ribosomal RNA
Source: RNAcentral